This 253-nucleotide ribosomal RNA is filed under the name uncultured bacterium. RNAcentral describes it as "partial 16S ribosomal RNA". It matches the Rfam family "Bacterial small subunit ribosomal RNA", at positions 524 to 776 of the family's 1533-position model. The record is from RNAcentral.
UACAGAGGUCUCAAGCGUUGUUCGGAUUCAUUGGGCGUAAAGGGUGCGUAGGCGGGCAGGUAAGUCAGUGGUGAAAUCUCCGGGCUUAACCCGGAAACUGCCGUUGAUACUAUCUGUCUUGAAUAUCGUGGAGGUAAGCGGAAUAUGUCAUGUAGCGGUGAAAUGCUUAGAUAUGACAUAGAACACCCAUUGCGAAGGCAGCUUACUACACGAUCAUUGACGCUGAGGCACGAAAGCGUGGGGAGCAAACAGG